ACGGGUGCGGAACACGUACGCAACCUUCCUUUAAGUGGGGGAUAGCCCGGGGAAACCCGGAUUAAUACCCCGUAAAAUUGUGGUGUGGCAUCACACUAUAAUUAAAGCUCCGGCGCUUAAAGAUGGGCGUGCGACUGAUUAGGUAGUUGGCGGGGUAACGGCCCACCAAGCCUACGAUCAGCAACUGGUGUGAGAGCACGACCAGUCACACGGGCACUGAGACACGGGCCCGACUCCUACGGGAGGCAGCAGUAAGGAAUAUUGGUCAAUGGACGCAAGUCUGAACCAGCCAUGCCGCGUGGAGGAUGAAGGUCCUCUGGAUUGUAAACUUCUUUUAUCGGAGAAGAAACCCUCGUUUUCUAAUGGGGUUGACGGUACCCGAUGAAUAAGCACCGGCUAACUCCGUGCCAGCAGCCGCGGUAAUACGGAGGGUGCAAGCGUUAUCCGGAUUCACUGGGUUUAAAGGGUGCGUAGGUGGGUUGGUAAGUCCGUGGUGAAAUCUCCGAGCUUAACUCGGAAACUGCCGUGGAUACUAUCAAUCUUGAAUACUGUGGAGGUAAGCGGAAUAUGUCAUGUAGC
RNAcentral lists this ribosomal RNA (579 nucleotides) under uncultured bacterium. RNAcentral describes it as "bacterial SSU rRNA". It matches the Rfam family "Bacterial small subunit ribosomal RNA", at positions 102 to 679 of the family's 1533-position model. The record is from RNAcentral.